Molecule: ribosomal RNA, 1364 nt
Filed under: uncultured bacterium
Lineage: Bacteria
Description: bacterial SSU rRNA
Rfam family: Bacterial small subunit ribosomal RNA
Source: RNAcentral
AUUGAACGCUGGCGGCAGGCCUAACACAUGCAAGUCGAACGGUAACAGGAAGAAGCUUGCUUCUUUGCUGACGAGUGGCGGACGGGUGAGUAAUGUCUGGGAAACUGCCUGAUGGAGGGGGAUAACUACUGGAAACGGUAGCUAAUACCGCAUAACGUCGCAAGACCAAAGAGGGGGACCUUCGGGCCUCUUGCCAUCGGAUGUGCCCAGAUGGGAUUAGCUAGUAGGUGGGGUAACGGCUCACCUAGGCGACGAUCCCUAGCUGGUCUGAGAGGAUGACCAGCCACACUGGAACUGAGACACGGUCCAGACUCCUACGGGAGGCAGCAGUGGGGAAUAUUGCACAAUGGGCGCAAGCCUGAUGCAGCCAUGCCGCGUGUAUGAAGAAGGCCUUCGGGUUGUAAAGUACUUUUCAGCGGGGAGGAAGGGAGUAAAGUUAAUACCUUUGCUCAUUGACGUUACCCGCAGAAGAAGCACCGGCUAACUCCGUGCCAGCAGCCGCGGUAAUACGGAGGGUGCAAGCGUUAAUCGGAAUUACUGGGCGUAAAGCGCACGCAGGCGGUUUGUUAAGUCAGAUGUGAAAUCCCCGGGCUCAACCUGGGAACUGCAUCUGAUACUGGCAAGCUUGAGUCUCGUAGAGGGGGGUAGAAUUCCAGGUGUAGCGGUGAAAUGCGUAGAGAUCUGGAGGAAUACCGGUGGCGAAGGCGGCCCCCUGGACGAAGACUGACGCUCAGGUGCGAAAGCGUGGGGAGCAAACAGGAUUAGAUACCCUGGUAGUCCACGCCGUAAACGAUGUCGACUUGGAGGUUGUGCCCUUGAGGCGUGGCUUCCGGAGCUAACGCGUUAAGUCGACCGCCUGGGGAGUACGGCCGCAAGGUUAAAACUCAAAUGAAUUGACGGGGGCCCGCACAAGCGGUGGAGCAUGUGGUUUAAUUCGAUGCAACGCGAAGAACCUUACCUGGUCUUGACAUCCACGGAAGUUUUCAGAGAUGAGAAUGUGCCUUCGGGAACCGUGAGACAGGUGCUGCAUGGCUGUCGUCAGCUCGUGUUGUGAAAUGUUGGGUUAAGUCCCGCAACGAGCGCAACCCUUAUCCUUUGUUGCCAGCGGUCCGGCCGGGAACUCAAAGGAGACUGCCAGUGAUAAACUGGAGGAAGGUGGGGAUGACGUCAAGUCAUCGUGGCCCUUACGACCAGGGCUACACACGUGCUACAAUGGCGCAUACAAAGAGAAGCGACCUCGCGAGAGCAAGCGGACCUCAUAAAGUGCGUCGUAGUCCGGAUUGGAGUCUGCAACUCGACUCCAUGAAGUCGGAAUCGCUAGUAAUCGUGGAUCAGAAUGCCACGGUGAAUACGUUCCCGGGCCU